AGAGUUUGAUCAUGGCUACAGAACGAACGCUGGCGGCAUGCCUAACACAUGCAAGUCGAACGAUGCCUUCGGGCAUAGUGGCGCACGGGUGCGUAACGCGUGGGAAUCUGCCCUUGGGUUCGGAAUAACUCAGAGAAAUUUGAGCUAAUACCGGAUGAUGACGUAAGUCCAAAGAUUUAUCGCCCAAGGAUGAGCCCGCGUAAGAUUAGCUAGUUGGUGGGGUAAAGGCCUACCAAGGCGACGAUCUUUAGCUGGUCUGAGAGGAUGAUCAGCCACACUGGGACUGAGACACGGCCCAGACUCCUACGGGAGGCAGCAGUGGGGAAUAUUGGACAAUGGGCGAAAGCCUGAUCCAGCAAUGCCGCGUGAGUGAUGAAGGCCUUAGGGUUGUAAAGCUCUUUUACCAGGGAUGAUAAUGACAGUACCUGGAGAAUAAGCUCCGGCUAACUCCGUG
Molecule: ribosomal RNA, 454 nt
Filed under: uncultured bacterium
Lineage: Bacteria
Description: bacterial SSU rRNA
Rfam family: Bacterial small subunit ribosomal RNA
Source: RNAcentral